CGGAUCAGUGAUGACCACUGGAGUCGUAUGAGUCAUGGAUGAUGACUACGCUCAAUGUCUGAGGUCCAA
Small nucleolar RNA from Heterocephalus glaber (naked mole-rat), 69 nucleotides. Lineage: Eukaryota; Metazoa; Chordata; Mammalia; Rodentia; Bathyergidae. The record is from Ensembl.